RNAcentral lists this ribosomal RNA (470 nucleotides) under uncultured bacterium. RNAcentral describes it as "bacterial SSU rRNA". It matches the Rfam family "Bacterial small subunit ribosomal RNA", at positions 330 to 797 of the family's 1533-position model. The record is from RNAcentral.
UGCGAACUCCUACGGGAGGCAGCAGUGAGGAAUAUUGGUCAAUGGACGGAAGUCUGAACCAGCCAAGUAGCGUGCAGGAUGACGGCCCUAUGGGUUGUAAACUGCUUUUAUGCGGGGAUAAAGUUAGUCACGUGUGACUAUUUGCAGGUACCGCAUGAAUAAGGACCGGCUAAUUCCGUGCCAGCAGCCGCGGUAAUACGGAAGGUCCGGGCGUUAUCCGGAUUUAUUGGGUUUAAAGGGAGCGUAGGCCGUGGAUUAAGCGUGUUGUGAAAUGUAGACGCUCAACGUCUGACUUGCAGCGCGAACUGGUUCACUUGAGUGUGCGCAACGCAGGCGGAAUUCGUGGUGUAGCGGUGAAAUGCUUAGAUAUCACGAAGAACUCCGAUUGCGAAGGCAGCUUGCGGGAGCACAACUGACGCUGAAGCUCGAAAGUGCGGGUAUCAAACAGGAUUAGAUACCCUUGUAGUCCU